UACGUAGGUGGCAAGCGUUGUCCGGAUUUACUGGGCGUAAAGAGCGCGCAGGCGGUCGUUCAAGUCGCGUGUGAAAGCCCCCGGCUCAACUGGGGAGGGUCACGCGAUACUGAUCGACUCGAAGGCAGGAGAGGGUAGUGGAAUUCCCGGUGUAGUGGUGAAAUGCGUAGAUAUCGGGAGGAACACCAGUGGCGAAGGCGGCUCUCUGGGACGGUACUGACGCUGAGACGCGAAAGCGUGGGGAGCAAACGGG
RNAcentral lists this ribosomal RNA (253 nucleotides) under uncultured bacterium. Its description in RNAcentral is "partial 16S ribosomal RNA". It matches the Rfam family "Bacterial small subunit ribosomal RNA", at positions 524 to 776 of the family's 1533-position model. The record is from RNAcentral.